UCUACCUUUAGGAGGAGGAUACCUUUGAACGAAAGUUAAUACCUCCAUAUGCCGAGAGGUAAAAGGUUUAGGCCGCCCUAGAAAUGAUCUUGCGUCAGAUUAGCUAGUUGGUGAGAUAAAAGCUCACCAAGGCAAUGAUCAGUAGCUGGUUUGAGAGAACGAUCAGCCACAUUGGAACUGAGACACGGUCCAAACCACUACGGUGGGCAGCAGUGAGGAAUUUUCCGCAAUGGGCGAAAGCCUGACGGAGCAAUACAGCGUGAAGGAUGACGGCCUGUGGGUUGUAAACUUCUUUACCUAGAAAAGACAUUUAUUUAGACGGUAUCUAGGCAACAAGC
RNAcentral lists this ribosomal RNA (338 nucleotides) under uncultured cyanobacterium. RNAcentral's name for it is "partial 16S ribosomal RNA". It matches the Rfam family "Bacterial small subunit ribosomal RNA", at positions 125 to 491 of the family's 1533-position model. Lineage: Bacteria; Bacillati; Cyanobacteriota. The record is from RNAcentral.